RNAcentral lists this ribosomal RNA (505 nucleotides) under uncultured bacterium. RNAcentral's name for it is "bacterial SSU rRNA". It matches the Rfam family "Bacterial small subunit ribosomal RNA", at positions 8 to 526 of the family's 1533-position model. The record is from RNAcentral.
AGAGUUUGAUCAUGGCUCAGGACGAACGCUGGCGGCGUGCUUAACACAUGCAAGUCGAACGGAAAGGCCCUGCUUGCAGGGUACUCGGGUGGCGAACGGGUGAGUAACACGUGGGUGAUCUGCCCUGCACUUCGGGAUAAGCUUGGGAAACUGGGUCUAAUACCGGAUAGGACCGCACUUUAGUGUGUGUGGUGGAAAGUUUUUUCGGUGUAGGAUGAGCUCGCGGCCUAUCAGCUUGUUGGUGGGGUAAUGGCCUACCAAGGCGGCGACGGGUAGCCGGCCUGAGAGGGUGUACGGCCACAUUGGGACUGAGAUACGGCCCAGACUCCUACGGGAGGCAGCAGUGGGGAAUAUUGCACAAUGGGCGCAAGCCUGAUGCAGCGACGCCGCGUGGGGGAUGAAGGCCUUCGGGUUGUAAACUCCUUUCGCUAGGGACGAAGCUUCGUUGUGACGGUACCUAGAUAAGAAGCACCGGCUAACUACGUGCCAGCCGCCGCGGUAAUUC